UUCCGUAGGUAACCUGCGGAAGGAUCAUUGUCGAGACCGAAUAUAUCGAGCGAUUCAGAGAACUUGUGAAUGAGCGAUGGCACUUGCCGUCGCGUAACAGCCGUCCCUGUUGUCGCCCUCAUUGGGGCCAUGAUGGGGGCGAAUAAAACUCAACCCGGCGCAGUUACGCGCCAAGCCAAUGCAAAUAGACACGAGCCCGCAUUGGGUUCGGUGGCGUGAAGUGCUUUUGCACACCACACGGAUCAAAAUGACUCUCGGCAAUGGAUAUCUCGGCUCUCGCAUCGAUGAAGAGCGCAGCGAAAUGCGAUACGUGGUGCGAAUUGCAGAAUCCCGCGAACCAUCGAGAAUUUGAACGCAAGUUGCGCCCGAGGCCAGCCGGCCAAGGGCACGUCCGCCUGGGCGUCAAGCGUUGCGUCGCUCCGUGUCGGCUCCAUCCCACUUGACGGGUGUGCAUGGGGACGGUCGGAUGUGCAGAGUGGCUCGUCGUGCCCACGGGUGCGACGGGCUGAAGAGCGGGUGAUCGUCUCGUUGGCCACGAACAACAAGGGUGGAUGAAAAUUGUGCCUGUGUUGUAUCGUGCCGGCAUGACAAGAGAUCAUACCCUGCGGAUGAUCCCAACCCAAGCGUUAUCCAUAGAUGGCGGCUUGGAAUGCGACCC
RNAcentral lists this ribosomal RNA (658 nucleotides) under Anathallis dolichopus. RNAcentral describes it as "eukaryotic LSU rRNA". The stretch from base 250 to 405 matches the Rfam family "5.8S ribosomal RNA". The record is from RNAcentral. Lineage: Eukaryota; Viridiplantae; Streptophyta; Magnoliopsida; Asparagales; Orchidaceae.